GGGGGCGUAAAGGUUUCGACAGGGUUGUUCGGUGGUGCGGUAAGCGAGUCGUGAUUUUGGGGCCACGCUAAAAACCCGAGCGUAAAUAUAAACGCUAACAAUAGAACUAAUUUAGUAGCUGCUUAAUGCAGCUUCCGCUGACCUGAGUUUACUGCGGACUUAGCCAUCAGCGCCAAAACACGCAGUGCACGUUAGCAGCCUAAGCUUUGCGGUUGCAAUGACAAAUGAAGCUACUUUCCUUGCAAGCCUGCCCUUGUGCCAGUAAGGAAGGGAAUCCUUAAUCAAUGGCUACACUCGUAGAAAACUGCAUUUCCGCUUCUUUGGACAGGGGUUCGACUCCCCUCGCCUCCACCA
This 354-nucleotide transfer-messenger RNA is filed under the name human gut metagenome. It matches the Rfam family "transfer-messenger RNA". From Rfam's summary of the family: Bacterial tmRNA, also known as 10Sa RNA or SsrA, is named for its dual tRNA and mRNA-like properties. Its role is to liberate the mRNA from a stalled ribosome. The record is from RNAcentral.